RNAcentral lists this transfer RNA (74 nucleotides) under Araneus ventricosus. It matches the Rfam family "tRNA". Rfam says of the family: Transfer RNA (tRNA) molecules are approximately 80 nucleotides in length. Their secondary structure includes four short double-helical elements and three loops (D, anti-codon, and T loops). Further hydrogen bonds mediate the characteristic L-shaped molecular structure. tRNAs have two regions of fundamental functional importance: the anti-codon, which is responsible for specific mRNA codon recognition, and the 3' end, to which the tRNAs corresponding amino acid is attached (by aminoacyl-tRNA synthetases). tRNAs cope with the degeneracy of the genetic code in two manners: having more than one tRNA (with a specific anti-codon) for a particular amino acid; and 'wobble' base-pairing, i.e. permitting non-standard base-pairing at the 3rd anti-codon position. The record is from Rfam by way of RNAcentral. Lineage: Eukaryota; Metazoa; Arthropoda; Arachnida; Araneae; Araneidae.
GGCUCCAUGGCUUAGUUGGUUAAAGAGCCUGUCUAGUAAACAGGAGAUCGCGAGUUCGAAUCUCGCCGGUGCCU